This 544-nucleotide ribosomal RNA is filed under the name uncultured bacterium. RNAcentral's name for it is "bacterial SSU rRNA". It matches the Rfam family "Bacterial small subunit ribosomal RNA", at positions 382 to 916 of the family's 1533-position model. The record is from RNAcentral.
CCUGACGGAGCGACGCCGCGUGGGGGACGAAGGCCUUCGGGUUGUAAACCUCUUUUCUGAGGGAAGAACGUUCUAGCUGUUAAUAGCAGAUAGAGUUGACGGUACUUUAGGAAUAAGCCCCGGCUAACUACGUGCCAGCAGCCGCGGUAAUACGUAGGGGGCGAGCGUUGUCCGGAAUCACUGGGCGUAAAGGGCGUGUAGGCGGCUAGAGUAGUCGCAGGUGAAAUCCCACGGCUCAACCGUGGAACUGCCUGCGAAACCAUCUAGCUUGAGGACAGGAGAGGAAAGCGGAAUUCCUGGUGUAGCGGUGAAAUGCGUAGAUAUCAGGAGGAACAUCAGUGGCGAAGGCGGCUUUCUGGCCUGGUCCUGACGCUGAGGCGCGAAAGCUAGGGGAGCAAACAGGAUUAGAUACCCUGGUAGUCCUAGCUGUAAACGAUGGGUACUAGGUGUUGGUGGGCUCAUACCCAUCAGUGCCGCAGUUAACACAAUAAGUACCCCGCCUGGGGAGUACGGUCGCAAGACUGAAACUCAAAGGAAUUGACGG